Molecule: long non-coding RNA, 742 nt
Organism: Carya illinoinensis
Lineage: Eukaryota; Viridiplantae; Streptophyta; Magnoliopsida; Fagales; Juglandaceae
Exons: 4
Source: RefSeq, a predicted model, not a curated record
UCUCUCUCUGUCUCUCGGAUUUCUCUGUAUCGCCGUCUCUAGGGGCGCCUUUCGCCACCACGCACACGUCGACGGCAUCGCCAGUCCUCUAUCGGAGCUCCCUUCUCCUCCGUGCCUAGCCCAGCCGCCCGAGGCCCUCGUUCUCUCCCUUGCUCUGUUCGCAACCCACGGCCCCGACGACUGGUUUGGGUAUUGCACAUCUCUCUUGUUAUCUGUAUUUCUUUUUUAAUUUCUCUGCAUUUUUUUGAGUAUUUUAGUGGAUCUGUAAGUCGUUCAAGUUGGCAGCUUAGAGGCAAAUGGGACUUUUGAGUUAAUAUUAAUUGAGAUGAAGAUGGCCUCAUUGGAUAUGUUUUUGGAUCUCUCAUGAUGCUUGUUUCGCUUGAUUCUGUCGCCACAUUGUUGUGAAUCUGUACAAGUUAGAUAAAGGACACUGUUUUACAUAUAUGAAGAGGCACAAUAGUACGUGCCUUUGCCUUGUGAAAGGAAUCUACUCCAGUUUAAUGAUGCCAGGCUUGCAGUUGAACCUCGUAACAAAUACAGAAUUCAGACAAAACCUCAUGGCCAUGGUGAUGUGCAUGCACUUCUCUUUUCCAGUGGCCUUCUGAAAAUAUGGCAUGAUGCUGGUUUGAGAUGGGUUCUGUUUUUCCAAGAUACAAAUGGGCUUCUGUUCAAGGCAAUUCCAGCAUCUUUGGGUGUAAGUUCUACCAGACAAUACCAUGUUAACUCUCUUGCUGUGCCACGC